Molecule: unclassified non-coding RNA, 318 nt
Filed under: fungal sp.
Lineage: Eukaryota; Fungi
Description: partial internal transcribed spacer region
Rfam family: Eukaryotic small subunit ribosomal RNA (bases 1-46)
Source: RNAcentral
AAGUCGUAACAAGGUUUCCGUAGGUGAACCUGCGGAAGGAUCAUUAGUGAACUGAAUAUGAGAGAGUGGGGUAAAACCUGCUCUUUUGUUUCUUGUGAACUGGUUGUUGGUCUGUUAUUUUUGAGUUGGGGGGGGGGGAGAGUAAGGAGAAGAGUAGUUUACUAGCUUUGGGUUACUGUUUGUUCUAGCUGGUGCUGUUCUUGUCCAGACAUCUUUUUUCCUGGCUUGAGAAUAAUGGGCUAGCAAUUUUUACUGUUUGUCAUUUUUUUUUACUGUUGUUAAAUAAGACAACUUUCAGCAAUGGAUCUCUUGGCUCUU